Molecule: ribosomal RNA, 758 nt
Filed under: Candidatus Uzinura diaspidicola
Lineage: Bacteria; Pseudomonadati; Bacteroidota; Flavobacteriia; Flavobacteriales
Description: bacterial SSU rRNA
Rfam family: Bacterial small subunit ribosomal RNA
Source: RNAcentral
UUACUACGGGAUGGUAACCUGAAGGUACUAUGAGAAUAAGUGUCGGCUAAUUUCGUGCCAGCAGCCUCGGUAAAACGAAAGACACAAGCGUUAUCCGGAUUUAUUGGGUUUAAAGGGUGUGUAGGUUGUUUAUUAAGUCAGUAGUGAAAGCUUACAGCUUAACUGUAAAAUUGCUAUUGAUACUGAUAAUCUUGAGUCAGAUUGGAGCGUCUGGAAUGUAUGGUGUAGCGGUGAAAUGCAUAGAUAUCAUACAGAACACCAAUAGCGAAGGCAGGAUGCUAAAUCUUCACUGACACUGAGGCACGAAAGCGUGGGUAGCAAACAGGAUUAGAUACCCUGGUAGUCCACGCCCUAAACUAUGAUCACUAGCUAUUGGAAAAAUUAUAUUCAGUGGCCAAGCUAAAGCGAUAAGUGAUCCACCUGGGAAGUACGAUCGCAAGAUUGAAACUCAAAGGAAUUGACGGGGUUUCGCACAAGCGGUGGAGCAUGUGGUUUAAUUCGAUGAUACGCGAGGAACCUUACCAAGGUUUAAAUGUAUUACGAAUAAGCUGGAAACAACUUUGUCUAUAAGACGUAAUACAAGGUGCUGCAUGGUUGUCUUCAGUUCGUGCUGUGAAGUGUUUGGUUAAGUCCUAUAACGAGCGCAACCCUUAUUGUUAGUUGCCAUCGGGUAAAGCCGGGGACUUUAACAAAACGGCCGGUGUAAAUCGAGAGGAAGGUGGGGAUAAUGUCAAAUCAUCAUGGCCUUUAUGCCUUGG